Long non-coding RNA from Acinonyx jubatus (cheetah), 1223 nucleotides. RefSeq lists it as uncharacterized. NCBI's taxonomy places the organism in Eukaryota, Metazoa, Chordata, Mammalia, Carnivora, Felidae. The transcript has 2 exons. The record is from RefSeq and is a predicted model, not a curated record.
AGAGUCGGAAGGCCUGGGUUCACAUUCUGCCCCUCCACUUACCUCACACUGAUACAGUUAUUUAAUCACUCUAAGUUUCCAUUUCUUCAUCUGUGAAAAGGGAUAAUUCCGGAACAUACCUAAGUGUAUAGGAUUUUUGUGAGGAAUAAAGAAGAUCAUGUAUAUGAAGCAUUAGAGCUUGAUAAGUGUUAGCUACUAAUGUUAGUGGUAUUAUUACUACUGUUACUACCACUUCUACUCCUGUGGUUGGCAGAUGAAAGCCUAGAGUGGCAUUUGUGGUAAGUUUUUAAUUUGUGCACCAUAUCUAUUUGCCACCUUGACAGAAAGAAGGAAGAUGAGGCUUCUUUUCGUAUCUUCUUGGUACCUCUGAUGUAAUCCUAUAUUAUCCUUAUACAUACUCUUACACAUUUUAUUCUUUCUUUCUUUCUUUAUUGAGAAAUAUUCCAGUGCCUGCAAUUUGUUGGGCACUUGCCAGCACAUUCCUGCUCCCUGGACCUUUACAGCAGAGUAUCUCAUUUAUACCAAUGUAUGUCUUUUGUUUUAUUUUUAUUAACAUUUUUUUUCUUAACGUUUAUUUUUUUGAGAGGGGAGGGGAAGAGAGUGAGGGAGACACAGAAUCUGAAGCAGGCUCCUGGCUCUGAGCUGUCAGCACAGAGCCCGAUGUGGGGCUCGAACUCACGAACCGUGAGAUCAUGAACUGAGCCGAAGUCGAACACGUAACUGAGCCACCCUGGCACCCCUGUGUAAAUGUAUGUCUUAAUUAGUGUGGUCCUUUGACUGCUUACCCAAGGAAUUACUGCCUGCUCUGGAGGGCGAUUUAGGCUUGAAUCCUGACUAAGCUGCUGAACUAUGCAGUAACCUGUCUGUGCAGUAAACAGAAUUUUCCUUAGUCUUAGUUUUUAUCAUGAAAACAGGAAUAAUGCCAUCUAACUUAGAAGGAGGUUUGAGGAUUAAUUAAGACAGUAUUUAUUAAUAAAGUACUUAAGGGGCACCUGGGUGGCUCGGUUGGUUAAGCGUCUGACUUUGGCUCAGGUCAUGAUCUCACGGUCCGUGAGUUCGAGCCCCGCGUUGGGCCCUGUGCUGACAGCUCAGAGCCUGGAGCCUGUUUCAGAUUCUGUGUCUCCCUCUCUCUCUGCCCCUCCCCUGUUCAUGCUCUGUCUCUCUCUGUCUCAAAAAUAAAUAAAUGUUAAAAAAAAAUUUUUUUUUAAAGUACUUAAAAUAAU